GUUGAUCCUGCCAGUAGUCAUAUGCUUGUCUCAAAGAUUAAGCCAUGCAUGUCUAAGUAUAAGCAAUUUAUACAGUGAAACUGCGAAUGGCUCAUUAAAUCAGUUAUCGUUUAUUUGAUAGUUCCUUUACUACAUGGUAUAACUGUGGUAAUUCUAGAGCUAAUACAUGCUUAAAAUCUCGACCUCUGGAAGAGAUGUAUUUAUUAGAUAAAAAAUCAAUGUCUUCGGACUCUUUGAUGAUUCAUAAUAACUUUUCGAAUCGCAUGGCCUUGUGCUGGCGAUGGUUCAUUCAAAUUUCUGCCCUAUCAACUUUCGAUGGUAGGAUAGUGGGGUACCAUGGUAUCAACGGGUAACGGGGAAUAAGGGUUCGAUUCCGGAGAGGGAGCCUGAGAAACGGCUACCACAUCCAAGGAAGGCAGCAGGCGCGCAAAUUACCCAAUCCUAAUACAGGGAGGUAGUGACAAUAAAUAACGAUACAGGGCCCAUUCGGGUCUUGUAAUUGGAAUGAGUACAAUGUAAAUACCUUAACGAGGAACAAAUGGAGGGCAAGUCUGGUGCCAGCAGCCGCGGUAAUUCCAGCUCCAAUAGCG
This 590-nucleotide ribosomal RNA is filed under the name uncultured Torulaspora. RNAcentral describes it as "SSU rRNA". It matches the Rfam family "Eukaryotic small subunit ribosomal RNA", at positions 7 to 599 of the family's 1831-position model. The record is from RNAcentral. Lineage: Eukaryota; Fungi; Ascomycota; Saccharomycetes; Saccharomycetales; Saccharomycetaceae.